This is a non-coding RNA of Erysipelotrichaceae bacterium, 74 nucleotides long. NCBI's taxonomy places the organism in Bacteria, Bacillati, Bacillota, Erysipelotrichia, Erysipelotrichales, Erysipelotrichaceae. The record is from Rfam.
AAGCGGUGCCGGUGGUCGAAAAAGGUUUAUUGCAGGAAGUCAGCAGAAGCCAUAGUAGGCAUAAGCCGAAGGGC